AAGGAUCAUUAUCAAUUCUCCUCACGGAGAUACCCACCUGUGGUCCCGUCUGAGUGCGUGGGCGCCUGCGCUCACAAACUCAUUUUUUUAACUCCCAUUACCAGUUACCUGAAUCCUCGUCUCAUGCAGGGCUAGGUGAAAGCGGGCCUACGGGCUUCCACACUGCGCCGACCCCCUGUGUGAGCACUUAUGUAACAACAGUACAACUGUUAACAGUGGAUAUCUAGGCUCUU
RNAcentral lists this unclassified non-coding RNA (233 nucleotides) under uncultured fungus. RNAcentral describes it as "partial contains 18S rRNA, ITS1, 5.8S rRNA, ITS2 and 28S rRNA". Lineage: Eukaryota; Fungi. The record is from RNAcentral.